CCAAUCCAAAAUCUUUCCCUCCCUCCCAUCCUUUCUUCCCCUCCGCCUCCGCCUCCUCGGCCGCCGGUGACGCGCCAGGCGCUAGCCAGCCAUGUCGUGCUCCCACCUCUCCACCGCGUGGUCCUCCUCCGCGCUUGCCAGCACCUCCACCCGCCGCCGCGCCUCCACCGGCAGCAGCAGCAGCCUGGUGGUGCGGUGCUCCCUCCGGGACCUCCGCAACCGCAUCGACUCUGUCCGUAACACGCAGAAGAUCACGGAGGCGAUGAAGCUGGUGGCCGCCGCCAAGGUCCGUCGCGCGCAGGAGGCCGUGGUCUCCUCCCGCCCCUUCUCGGAGGCU
This 337-nucleotide long non-coding RNA is filed under the name Triticum aestivum (bread wheat). RNAcentral's name for it is "long non-coding RNA (TAES_LNC023968)". The record is from RNAcentral. Lineage: Eukaryota; Viridiplantae; Streptophyta; Magnoliopsida; Poales; Poaceae.